RNAcentral lists this microRNA (21 nucleotides) under Monodelphis domestica (gray short-tailed opossum). Its description in RNAcentral is "mdo-miR-1549b-5p". The record is from miRBase by way of RNAcentral. Lineage: Eukaryota; Metazoa; Chordata; Mammalia; Didelphimorphia; Didelphidae.
ACCGGGCUUGCAGGGCGGAAG